UCUCUGGGAAAUGAUGUUUAUGGAAUGGUUCUUUCAGAUAAGUAACAAGGCCUAAAGCACAUUUAUGACUACAACUCCCACAGUGUGGUGGAGCGUUGCACGGAAACUUCUCCAUCCAAACUUUAGACAAAUUGCUGAAGGAAAUGACAUUGAAUUUUCGAUCAAGAAAUGCACUCACACAUGCUUUUAUGCCACACAUUGUUCAGGUUUGACCUUUGUUGAUGGCAACACAACUAAGACCAAUAAUACAUUAUAUACAAGUAGCUAUUAACUUAUUGGGUUAUGAGUAUCUGCUGCCUUGUACGGUUCGUUUACUCUAACCGGCAUGUACACAACCAAGCGGAAAAUUGCCGCGUGCCGCUUAGUCCACCCAGUGCUUGGCAGCAUAAGUUCGAGUGUGCGUCAAGAAUUCAGCAUAGCAAGUUUGUAAGAAGGUUUGGUUAUUAAUAAGUGGGUAAAUAGUUCAAUAGUAAUAUGCUUUAAAACGCUCUGGUGACAAACAAACUUUGCUGCCCUAUUUACAAUUGUCCACAUGGCUGGAAGAAGCUAUUCAAAUACCUUGCAACUGGAGAUUCUUUCAAAAAUAUUGCCUACAUUUACUGUGUAGGGCACUACAAGGUAAGGUGACCAGGGCCAUCUGGGGCUGCCUCCUGGAGGAAUUCAGGCGUGUGAAGGCUGUCCUGCAAAACUUCAUGAGGAUGGACAUAAGGACCAGGAGGGGAUCUGCAGCUCGCCACUGUGUGCCAGAGAAGAAGUCUGGCACUCUGCAGGACGUUUCAAGGAUGGGGUCCAACAACGCAGCAAGAGAGGCAAUCCAUGUGCGGACAUCUUCACCUCCUACUUCUUUGAAGAGGGUGCUGUUCCCUGGCAACACCAUGACUACACUAUGCACAGCCAAAGGCUCUUAAGAGCCAUCCACAUUGCAAUAAGAGUAUUCUUCCAUUUACUUAGCUAUGUCAACUGCAGUUAUUCAAUUCUGUUUCUCUCCCUUUGAUUUCUACUUCUCAGGCGAGAGUGCUGUUUAGGUAAGGGUGUGAUGUCUGUACAAAAACUAAUUUAGAACAAUUAGACACCCUAUAACCCACACACUCAUGUAUCAAUCUGAUUGAUGGAUUGUGUUCUGCGCUAAGCAGGCUCAGGUGUAUAACUGUGGCUCCUUCCACCUUCAAAUGAUAGGCAAGAGGGCCAACUAUGGAGAGUAGUAAGACACUUUCUAUAACUACGCUAUAUUGUUUGUCCUCGUGUGUCCGUUCAUGUUUAUCAGUAUAAAGUACUUUGCAGCCACCUAGUGUGGACACCAGGUGAGGCCACACACACAGCUUCCUGUUGAACACUGUCUCUUUAACCACCUUAUUUUCUCAAUAAGUCUCUCUCCUUCUUCAUCCCUCUCUCCCCUUCUCCCUAAAUCCUCUAGGUUAUAUCAGCUGUGUCGGUAAACACCUCUCGCAUCUGAACUGGCUACAUAGAGGGCACAGCAUGAUCAGAGGUGAGAGGUCACUUGGUCAGGUCAACAGGAAGUAUAAUUAAAGGGAUGCUUUACAUUGAAAUACAGAUAGAGAUGUAGUAGUCCCAGAGUUAAUGAUCCAAGGUCAGUUUUGCAUUUUACCACCUGAUGAUUAUGAUAACUGACAGUGUUAGAAUAAAAAAAGAGGCUUAAACAUGCUCGCUCUCAUCUGCGAUGAUGUGAGAGAGGAUGCCAACCCCCAGUCCCGUCAUCGCCACCUCACCCGCUCUUAAGAUAACCUUCGGGCCAACUGGGACCCCAAGGCUGUUAAAAGACACAACUAGACACUAUUAUCUAAUUGUGAUGAACUGAGAGAAUAUUAGGCACUGUGAUUCUUUAAUCAUAUGUGGAAUUCCCUGCUCCUAUGUUCUUACUUCUUUCCCUUUCUGACUUUUACACCAUCUCUCGCCACCGCUUUCUUACUCUGUUUUUAUAAUGCACAGCAGAUGUACAUGGCAGUACAGAUUGAACAUGUAUUUCUAAUAUUUAUAAUGCAUUUAUUUAUAACACUUGGAUAAUUAACUUCUUUCAAUAAAGCGUUUCACAUUC
Molecule: long non-coding RNA, 2053 nt
Organism: Oncorhynchus kisutch (coho salmon)
Lineage: Eukaryota; Metazoa; Chordata; Actinopteri; Salmoniformes; Salmonidae
Exons: 2
Source: RefSeq, a predicted model, not a curated record